AUCCAGCUGACGAGUCCCAAAUAGGACGAAAUGCGUGUUAUCCUUGGU
RNAcentral lists this non-coding RNA (48 nucleotides) under Trichobilharzia regenti. Lineage: Eukaryota; Metazoa; Platyhelminthes; Trematoda; Strigeidida; Schistosomatidae. The record is from RNAcentral.